Molecule: non-coding RNA, 111 nt
Organism: Immersiella caudata
Lineage: Eukaryota; Fungi; Ascomycota; Sordariomycetes; Sordariales; Lasiosphaeriaceae
Source: the annotation of a GenBank genome assembly
GGCUGGGUAGCGCAAUUGGUAGCGCGUUACUUUCCGGUGCAAGAUAUCUUCAACUCUAGAAGAAUCUUUCAAAGUUGGUAAAGGUUCUGGGUUCGAGUCCCAGCUUGGUCG